Scomber japonicus (chub mackerel) is the source of this 300-nucleotide long non-coding RNA. RefSeq lists it as uncharacterized. The record is from RefSeq and is a predicted model, not a curated record. NCBI's taxonomy places the organism in Eukaryota, Metazoa, Chordata, Actinopteri, Scombriformes, Scombridae. The transcript is spliced from 3 exons.
UUAUUUUCUGUCUGUACAUUACAUGUGUGAUAUAUUUAUGAUUUUCCAGGGUUUCUGGAAGAUGAUGUUUGGACUCAAACACAAAACUCAGCAACAGAGCAGACAUACAAGCUGCUGCAGAGGAGUGAGCCCUGAAGACGAGAGUUAAUGCUCCUUCAUCUCUUUCACACCAACCUCUGAGGGAGAGAUGCUGACGAAGGUGGACCUGCUGAACAUUCUGGAGGAUUUGAUAGAGAAGGAAUUUGAGGACAAGUUCAAGUGGUUGCUAGAGGAUGAAAGUCUGGCAGGCUACCCAGCCAU